RNAcentral lists this ribosomal RNA (258 nucleotides) under uncultured bacterium. RNAcentral's name for it is "partial small subunit ribosomal RNA". It matches the Rfam family "Bacterial small subunit ribosomal RNA", at positions 26 to 285 of the family's 1533-position model. The record is from RNAcentral.
AGGACGAACGCUGGCGGCGUGCUUAACACAUGCAAGUCGAGCGGUAAGGCCCUUUCGGGGGUACACGAGCGGCGAACGGGUGAGUAACACGUGGGUGACCUGCCCUUAGCUCUGGGAUAAGCCUGGGAAACUGGGUCUAAUACCGGAUAUGACCUCGCGAUGCAUGUCGUGGGGUGGAAAGCCGUUGUGCGGCUAGGGAUGGGCCCGCGGCCUAUCAGCUUGUUGGCGGGUAAUGGCCCACCAAGACUGUGAUCGGUA